UACGUAGGGUGCGAGCGUUGUCCGGAAUUAUUGGGCGUAAAGGGCUCGUAGGCGGUUUGUCACGUCGGGAGUGAAAACUCGGGGCUCAACCCCGAGCCUGCUUCCGAUACGGGCAGACUAGAGGUAUGCAGGGGAGAAUGGAAUUCCUGGUGUAGCGGUGAAAUGCGUAGAUAUCAAGUGGAACACCAGUGGCGAAGGCGAGUCUCUGGACAUUUCCUGACGCUGAGGCACGAAAGCCAGGGGAGCAAACGGG
This 253-nucleotide ribosomal RNA is filed under the name uncultured bacterium. Its description in RNAcentral is "partial 16S ribosomal RNA". It matches the Rfam family "Bacterial small subunit ribosomal RNA", at positions 524 to 776 of the family's 1533-position model. The record is from RNAcentral.